Meriones unguiculatus (Mongolian gerbil) is the source of this 8053-nucleotide long non-coding RNA. RefSeq lists it as uncharacterized. The record is from RefSeq and is a predicted model, not a curated record. The transcript has 3 exons. Lineage: Eukaryota; Metazoa; Chordata; Mammalia; Rodentia; Muridae.
AGGUGGGCUGUGGGUCCUAGAUGGACGGACGGCUACAGCCAGCAAGGCCAGACCUCUCUCGUGGAAGCACUGUAAGCCACUACCCACGCUAUGGCAGCAGAUAAACAGCUGUGGGGUGGGUGGUAGGCCAGGGAUGACCAGGAGGACUCCUCACAGCAUGUCAGCAGCACUCACAGAAAGGGCCUGCUCUCUUAAUCUAGCCAUGAGAACCUUCCUAAAGUCACCUGCAGAUCCUAAGUGCCCUGGGGCCGGAAGAGCUCAGCUACAUACCACUUCACCCCCAUACUCAUGCUGGAAUUGAGGCCCCACACCCCACUGCUAUGUGGUCAUACACCCCAGAUACCAUCUUACUUACAGGGGGUCCCGGAAAAUUAUGGGGACCUAAGGGGAGGAGUGUUUAUCUCAAAGAGACUGAGUGAUCUGAAAGAACUUGCUUAAAGAUGGCAGGGCCUAGUGCUGUGUGGGUGUCACCCGAGCACUUGGGGAGGGAGAGAGAGGGGGGAGAGAGAGGGAGAAAGAGAUUGAUUUAGGCCAGAGGAGACUAUAAUUUUGUGGAUUGGGUUCUAAACUCAGUCACCCCUGCCCGGGGGAGUGCGGACUCUGAUGAACAGGAGUUUCCAUUAUUGGGUACAUUUGUGUUGGGAGGCACAGCAUUUCUGAUCCUGCACACAGUUGCCUUUCACUGGGAGCAUAUGGACAGCUGCCCUAUCUCAGUCUCUCUACCCUUAAUUUACCCAUCGAUGCAUGUGUUAAUGAGGCAGUUUUAACAAACUGUGAUAAACUCGUUUUCUUCCUCUUUGGCACAUUAGUGAGAGGUGAGAGGCAUAGUGUUCCCAGUCUUGAAGCCACGGAGUCUAUCCUGCACGGCAGGGAGGGGUGUGGGUGUUUAAUUCCUCAGUAGUAUGAAACAGAGAAGAGAGGGAUUAGGUGGCCUUUCCUAGUCUCAAAUCUAGAUGCUCAGCGUUGACGACUGAGGGAUGCCCCGUGUCUGCUCAGAUAGCACAAAAUGGGUGACACAGAUCCGAGCACUCUGACAACAGACUGUGGUCUGUCUGGUGAGCUUUUGUUGAGCAAGAGUCCCCUGGGAAGAGGAACCCUCCCCUGACAACAACCUCCAUCAGGCUGCCUUGUGGACAUGUCUGUGUGACAUGGCUUCUUCAUUGCUAUCUGAUGUACCGGGCCCAGUCACCGUGAGCGGCAGCCAUCCCCAGAGAGGCAUAAGAAAGCAAACCCAGCAAGGCAGAGGGAGCCAGCCAGUAAGCAACAUUUCUCCAUAGCCUCCGGUUCAAUUCCUGUCUUGUGUUUGGGCCCUGGUUUCCCUCAGAUGACCUGGAAAGGUCAUCUUGUUUCAUAGUCAUUUUCCUUAUCUGAGUUCUGGGGCAACGUGGCUGAGAAGCCAAAAUGAAAUGGCAGUGAGGAGGGUUGGCCACGGCCAGGCUCCCUGCAUGUGGUGCUGACCUUCUGAUAGGAGGUCGGGAGAAUGGGAUGGUCAGACCUAAGGAUCCUAAAGCACCGUAAGGUACUUGAUGCUCAAGCUAACGCUGGCUGUGAAACCAGCACUGGGAGGAGGGAAGACGUCACUAAUUGAUUGUUUGUGUUACCUUGGGGAAGCAUUGCCUUCUGGGAAUUGGUUUCCUUCCCUUGAAAAUGUGUGAAUUGAGAGCGUGGCUGGGAUCUAAGCAGUUAACUCUUAAGGAGACAAGUGAGGGUGAUGUGACAGGAGGCAGGAGCAAGCAUCUUGCCAGGCAGGUGGAACAGCUGUGUGUUAGCAGUUGUGGGUGCAAGGAGAAGAGCUGUGGAGGGAAAGGCAUCCGAGGGGCUUUCUAAAUCUGAAGAGCAGCACCCAGUGGGAACGAAGCACACUUUAUGGCCUGCACCAUUUGGGGUUGUCCCCCAAAACCUCCUGAGUAAAGAGGCCUUGUUCCUAGCUGCAUGUUAUUGGGAGGUGGUACAACAGCUAAGACCUAGGGAGGUCGUUAGGUCAUCAGACACGCCCUUGAAGGGGAUUGUGGGAAACUGGUCUCUCUCCAGCGGUCAGCAAGCUUUUAGUUUCUGCGUGUGUUUUAGCUCUGAUGUUCUGGUUUGCCAUGGGUCCCGAAGCAAUGGGGCCAAUGGACCCUGGGCUGAAAUCUCCAAAACAGGAGCCAAAAGAAACCAACCCUUCAGGGGUGAAGAGAUGGCUCAGCAGUUGAAGCACUGGCUGCUCUUCCUUAGGAUGCUGGUUUGAUUCCCAGCACCUACAUGGCAGUUUGCUACUCUCUGUAACUCCAGUUCCAGGGGACCUGCUGUCUUCUAAUAUACACAGGCACUGCAAAUACGAGCUGCACAGACACACAUGCAGGCAAAACACCCAUACACUUAAAACAAAAGAGACCCAGGAAACGAGACCCAAGAUGAUGAGCAAGUACCUACUGAAGAUUAAGCCUAAUUAGGUUUGAGGUAAACUUUAUUCUGAUAGGCACAAGGCCCCUUUCCCCCAGCAGCAGCUCAGUGCUUCCAGCAUUUUUAAAUUUUUAUUUCUUAAGAUUUUAUUUUAAUUAUGUGUGCCUGUGUGUGAGCUUGUACACGUGUGCAGUGCUCAUGGGGGCCAGAAGAGGACGUCAUAUCCCCUGGAGCUGGACUUCCAGGAGGUUGUACCAGGCAGAUGGAAGUGGCCAGGAACUGAACUGCAUCCUCUGCCUGCUCUCAGCCCCUGAGCAUCUCUCCAGCCCCGCUACUUUACAUAUGCAGUGUGAAAUGUUAUCAAGGGGCUUGGAGGCUCACCACCCAUAAUUCCAUAAGAGGAACCAGGUGAGGAGUGAGUUCUACAACCCCAGGCUGUGAAGACUCCUGUGAUUGUCAGCGUUGGGUUCCCAGGGGCUCCCGCUGCAGGAAAUCCCAUCAACCAUCCUCUUUUAAAAAGAGAAUGGCCAGCAGGUGACAACUUCUCUUCUGAUUUUGAACACAAGAAACCAUAGGCUAUAUGCAUUUGACUACAGCUGAUCUGAAUGAAACAAAUAUCCUAAAAGAAAUACGGAGAUCUCACUAUGUAGAUCAGGCUGGCCUUGAAUUCACCGGGAUUCACCUGCCUCUGCCUCCCAAGUGCUGGGAUUAAGCAUGUGUGCCAACACACUUGGCUACGCUUUAAGCUUUUAAAAUCCUCAUCAUUUGCAAUAUUUCAAGUCACAUCCUAUGUUUAAGUAACUUUAAAAAAAAAGAUUUAUUUUUAACUGCGUAUAAGCAUGUAGAUGUGCAUGUGGUAAUGUGCCUGUGAAUGAACGCAAGUGCCCAUGGAAGCAGAGAUAGCAAAUCCCUGGAGAUGGAGUCGGGUGCUGGGAACCGAUCUCAGGUCCUCUGGAAGAGCAGCAAGUGUUCAGAACAGCUGUGCCAUCUCUCCAUCAUUUGGAGCAACUUCAAAAGUCACUAGCAUUUCUGGGUUUUUGGGACCUAAGGCAGGUUGUGCCUCAUUCAUCUGCAGUUGGUGGUUAUCUUCCAAACUUCGUUUGUCCUUUUUUUCCUUGUGCCUAAUUGAAAAAGUAACAGAACCUUAUCUAUAUUAGUAUAACUUAAAAGAGUUGGGUGCUACUUAAAAUUUCCUUUUCUUCAACACCCAAAUCCACAUUCUAAAGACAAAAACAUUAAGAACACCUGUAACUUACCCCUUUCGCUAAAGAAUGCCUUUAGGAAAUUCUUGAAUUGAUUUUAUACGUUUUCAAUUGUCUUUCCAUUUAAUUUUACAUCCUGCUGAGAACAUACCCUUUUUUACUCUGUCUUCCUUCUGCCCCCAUUACAUACAAUAACCUUUAUUUACAAAGUAGGUGAUCAGCCUUUACAUAAUUGUGCCAUAACUAUAGAGAGACACAGCGUAUAAUGACUCCCCGCCAGUCCGUCACAUGUUGUACAACCUUAUUGUCCCAAGAGUCAGGUGUGUGUGACGAUUUAGAAAUCGGGUCCCACAUCCUCCAGCUCCAGAAUCGAUGGCCAUGCUGAGCAGCUCUGGGCUGUGCCUGCCACCACUUCCCGGCCUUCCCGGCCUCCCCGGCCUCCUUUCCUGAUCUCUGCUCUCCUCUUUAUUGAUUAAAACAUAUUUAUCUGUUGCUUUCUACGAGCAUGCAUGUUUUGCCUGCACGUUUGUCUGCGCACCAUGUGCAUGUCUGCUGUCUGAGGAGGCCGGGAGGUGUUGGAUUCCUCACAAAUGGAGUCACAGACAGUUGUGAGCCACCAGGUGGUGCUGGGAACCACUCUGGAAGAGCGCUUUCUAUAUGACCAGGCUUCCUAGCCCCCUUCCCUCUAUUCUGGCUUCAUUCUGGCUCCUCCCACCCCUUGCUAAGCUAUGAGCAGACUACCUGACAUUUCUGGGCCCAACUUCAUUGGGAAAAUGGCAGUAACAAUGGUGUCUGCGUCCCAGGACUGUGGUGCAGUUUGUAAAGAACUUUGAGUGGUGUCUGGUCCACGAAGUGUUAUGCAGACGUGCUAUGCAUACAUGAACUGUUACAUUUUGCCAGGGUACACAAUGCGUUAGUUUCCCUGAAACAGGUCAGUGGAAGGUGGGUUUUAGAGAACUGAUCUGAAAGUGUUUCUCUCACCACUGUCCUUGGUUGAGCCUUUGACUGAGAAGCCUUCUAGAGUGAUGAUGAUUUUACUGAUUGCUUAUGGGCAAUGCCCUGUCUCCAUGCUCAAACUGGGGCCAUCCUGUUGACAUCCUCUUUGCACAGAGGUGUUUUGUUUGUUUGUUUGUUUGUUUUUGUUUAUUUUUCUGGAAGCUGCUGGAAUCACUGUAGGAUUCAGGUUUAGAUUUCUAUUUGAUGUUUCAUAUUCAUUCACUGCACUGAGAGUUUCCAUCCGGUAAGUAUUAUCUUUAUCACUAUAGUUAUUUAUAAUUUUAUCUUUUCCAUGUUUUCUAUCUUUUAAAGAUUUAUUAUUAUUGUUGUUAUUAUUAUUAUUUUAUGUGUGAGUGCUUUAUCUGCAUGUACACCUGCACGCCAAAAGAGGGCACCUUAUCUUAUUAUAGAUGGUUGUGAGCCACCAUGUGGUUGCUGGGAAUUGAACUCAGGACCUCUAGAAGAGCAGCCAGUGCUCUUAACUGCUGAGCCACCCUCUCCAUUUUUAUUAUUUUUAAUUAUGCAGCCUUUGAGUGACCUGGAGCAUUUUGUGAUGUUCCUUAGACAAUGGACGGCUAGUUUGUUUACAAUAGCAAAACUCUACGAAGGAUUUGCCUGAGCAGACAACUGUUCUUAUCUGUUACUAUUCUUGAAGAAAAUAUUUUACUUUUAAGUUGUAUUGGGGGCUGUUCUGGUGCUUCAUUUUGAUGCUAAUUACUGGCCCUCAAGAUCUGGUUACAGCCUGGAUACACCUAUCCUUGCUUUGUAAACCUGCCUGAGACAGUAUACCUGAUUGGUUGAUUAAAGGCCAAUACCUGGGCAGGGCAGAACGGGGUAGGCGUGGCUGAGGUUCCUGGGCUUUAAAGGAGGACGUGAGGAUGGGUUAUCGAGGAGAAGAGACCACGUGGCGGUGAGGAAGGACUCUAAUAAUGGUGUGGAAAGGCCUAAAUGAAGAAUACAAGCAAGUUUCUUGGAUUAUGGAUGGAAGGUAGUCCAGAUAGGAAUGAUUAAGGCUGAUGGCAUUGGAUGGGGGCUGGGAGAUGGAUGGUGUGGUAAUUGAGACAGUGUAGGUAGAAAUAUCUGCCUGGCCCAAGGUAAUAAGGCAAGAAUAAAAAUCUAACAGGUGUCUGUGUCUUAUUAUUUGUGAUAGCAGCUUAAAUACCACCGCAAUAAUUAUAGGGCAAAUAAUAAAUACUAUAAAGCCCAAUACAUCAUUUUUACUUACCACAACAAAGUUGCAAUUAUGUCAGUAUUAAGACUCACUUGUAUGUUUCAGCUGGACAUGGUGGUGUAACCUUUAAUCCCAGCAUUCAGCAGGCAGACACAAGCAGAUCUCUGUGAGUUAGAGGCCCAAUUUUAGGGUCCAACUUAUUCAUUGGGAAAAUGCAGCAGGGUCACCUAGCAAGGCCUUGUCUUUAAAAAAACCAAACCAAACCAAAACCCAAACAAACAAACAAAAUCCCAUUUAAAACCAACCAAACGAAAAGGAUCAUAUGCGUAUUUUAUUUGACAGCUGAAGUAUUAGUUGAACUAACUGCACAGUUAACACACGUAGACGUGGGCUCUCUGUGGGAGCACACCACAGUCCAUGUUAGCGGCUGCAGCGCAGAGUCUUCCCCGUGCCUGAAGGGUUGGUCCCAGCUGACACGUGAGAAAACUCAGCUUACAGGGCUGGCUCCACAGAGGGGACUUUGGUAACUCACAUCACCAGUGUUUCCGUCUACACAGCAGGCCGGAGAGGGGUCUAAAAAGGAAUUAACAAAAACCCCGUCAGCUGGGCACACCGGUGAGGAAGUUUUUCCCCAUUAAAUUAUUUGAAGUGGGAAGGCCCAUUUUUAACCUGGAUCUUUGAGGGAAGGCCCACCUUGACCCUGGGCGAUGUCUUCUGCAGCAGCCCAGUGGAGAAGGAAGCCUGCUCUCUGCCUGCUUGUUCUCCCUCUCCCUAGCAAGUCCAUCCCUUCACUGGCCUCAGAGCCUACUUCUUCAGGAUUCUGCUCAUACUGGAAACCAGCUGAGACAUCCAGCCUUGUGGCCUGAACAACUACUGGAGUCUUGGGGUUUCUGUUGGCAGACAGCUGUUUUGGGAUUUUUUUGUUGGACUAGCUGGACAACAGCCUGUUACCCAUUUUAAUAAAUCCCAUAAAAACACAUAUAUAUAGAUAUAUGUAUGCACAUUUUCCUUUCAUAAGUUCUGUCCCUCUAGAGAACCCUAACACAGUUGCUUCUAUCUGCACUUUGUCACAGCAAUCAGAAAGGUCACCAUCGUGUGACUCAGCUGGGAAGGGAGAAGGCACCCGCCAGAAUGGAGCUCUGUAGGCGCCAUGCCCUCGAAGUCCCCAAACUAGAGCGUGUGAACACAGAGGGAACACCGGAUGCCCUUGAAGCUCCUCAGCUUUGAGCCAAGCAAACAUCCUGAAUUUAUUAUUAUUAUUAUUAUUAUUAUUAUUAUUGAAGUUGGCGUGUGUGAAGUUUCCAUGUUGUGGCCUAGCAACAAGAAGAACCAAGAUGGAGAUGACUGAUGGUCCCAGCAGAAGAUGGAGCUGGAAGGUGGAGCGCAGGAAGGUGGCCUUUGAAGAGAUGAAGCAGAGGCUGAAGCAGGGGCAGAAGAAGCUCCCGGAGGAGCACCAUCAGGAAUACCUGAAGAUGCUGGCAGAACCGGGAGGCGCUGGAGGAGGCAGAUGAGUUGGAGUGGCUGGUGGCCAUCCCCAUCACCGAUACCGUGACUGCCAUCAGGGACCUGGGCCUCUCAGGUCUUCCCCUGCCUGAGCAAGGGGACUGUGAUGGGUCCCAGGAGGAGGCAUCGUCCUUGGAGAAGCCGACAAAAGAAGCCCAGGAAGUCCAGAGAUCCCAACAGGGCAGGAGAUGGAAGGUGCCCAUGUGAGCCUCACGCAGUGCCAGCCAACAGAGAAGGCCAACAGUGGGUGUCUGCCUGUGUGCAUCUCCAGAGCCACCCUGAGGCUGGAGACCUCAUCCACACAGGAGACCCCCUCUGCACACAUACACAGAGGAGACACACACACACACAGAGCACACUGUCUCUCUAAGUUUGGACUCCUUUGUUGGGGUGAUGUUUUGUGCAUUGUGUAAAGAUUAUCCCGGUAUAUUCAAAUGUUGAUUUCUGUGCAGAUCUGAUUACAGGCCUGGACUUUGGCUUUGCCAUUUAAAAAAGAAAAGAAAAUCGGUGUAUGCUCAGUGUAUGUACUAUUGGGUUUCAUAAAGAUAUUUUCAUGUAAGCAUAUACUUUGCUUUGACCUGUCCUCCCUCAUCAUCCUCUCCUUCCCCUUUCCCCACCCACUUCUGUUUGAUCCCUUCAUUGCCCUAGACAAUUCCAGGUUUAUUUUCAUGUCAUCUAUACAUAUAACUUAACUUUACGUACCUAUAUAAAAUUUAGUAUCUUAGAAAAAGUGGAAUAUUUUCUUUCUGUAUCUAGCUUAAUUAAUAUGGUUAUAUCCAGUUGUAUUCAAUUUAGCUGC